Molecule: ribosomal RNA, 780 nt
Filed under: uncultured Providencia sp.
Lineage: Bacteria; Pseudomonadati; Pseudomonadota; Gammaproteobacteria; Enterobacterales; Morganellaceae
Description: bacterial SSU rRNA
Rfam family: Bacterial small subunit ribosomal RNA
Source: RNAcentral
AAGGCGGCCUUCUGGACAGUACUGACGCUGAGAUGCGAAAGCGUGGGGAGCAAACAGGAUUAGAUACCUGGUAGUCACGCUGUAAACGAUGUCGAUUUGGAGUUGUUGCCUAGGGUGAUGGGCUCCGAAGCUAACGCGAUAAAUCGACCGCCUGGGGGGUACGGCCGCAAGGUUAAAACUCAAAUGAAUUGACGGGGGCCCGCACAAGCGGUGGAGCACGUGGUUUAAUUCGAUGCAACGCGAAGAACCUUACCUGGUCUUGACAUCCAUAGAAUUCUGCAGAGAUGUGGGAGUGCCUUCGGGAACUAUGAGACAGGUGCUGCAUGGCUGUCGUCAGCUCGUGUUGUGAAAUGUUGGGUUAAGUCCCGCAACGAGCGCAACCCUUAUUCUUUGUUGCCAGCGAUUUGGUCGGGAACUCAAAGGAGACUGCCGUUGAUAAAGCGGAGGAAGGUGGGGACGACGUCAAGUCAUCAUGGCCCUUACGACCAGGGCUACACACGUGCUACAAUGGCGUAUACAAAGGGAAGCGAAGGUGCGAGCUGGAGCGGAUCUCAUAAAGUACGUCUAAGUUCGGAUUGGAGUCUGCAACUCGACUCUAUGAAGUCGGAAUCGCUAGUAAUCGUAGAUCAGAAUGCUACGGUGAAUACGUUCCCGGGCCUUGUACACACCGCCCGUCACACCAUGGGAGUGGGUUGCACCAGAAGUAGAUAGCUUAACCGCGAGGGGGGCGUUUACCACGGUGUGAUUCAUGACUGGGGUGAAGUCGUAACAAGGUAACCA